Molecule: ribosomal RNA, 253 nt
Filed under: uncultured bacterium
Lineage: Bacteria
Description: partial 16S ribosomal RNA
Rfam family: Bacterial small subunit ribosomal RNA
Source: RNAcentral
UACGGAGGGAGCUAGCGUUGUUCGGAAAUACUGGGCGUAAAGCGCACGUAGGCGGUACAGUAAGUCAGGGGUGAAAUCCCGGAGCUCAACUCCGGAACUGCCUCUGAAACUACUGAACUAGAAUCUUGGAGAGGCGAGUGGAAUUCCGAGUGUAGAGGUGAAAUUCGUAGAUAUUCGGAAGAACACCAGUGGCGAAGGCGACUCGCUGGACAAGUAUUGACGCUGAGGUGCGAAAGCGUGGGGAGCAAACAGG